RNAcentral lists this unclassified non-coding RNA (303 nucleotides) under plant metagenome. Its description in RNAcentral is "partial contains 5.8S ribosomal RNA, internal transcribed spacer 2, and large subunit ribosomal RNA". The stretch from base 1 to 105 matches the Rfam family "5.8S ribosomal RNA", at positions 50 to 154 of the family's 154-position model. The record is from RNAcentral.
GAAAUGCGAUAAGUAGUGUGAAUUGCAGAAUUCAGUGAAUCAUCGAAUCUUUGAACGCACAUUGCGCCCCUCGGUAUUCCGUGGGGCAUGCCUGUUCGAGCGUCAUCUACACCCUCAAGCUCUGCUUGUUGUUGGGCGUCUGUCCCGCCUCCGCGCGUGGACUCGCCCCAAAUUCAUUGGCAGCGGUCCUUGCCUCCUCUCGCGCAGCACAUUGCGCUUCUCGAGGGGCUACGGCUCGCGUCCAACAAGCACAUUUACCGUCUUUGACCUCGGAUCAGGUAGGGAUACCCGCUGAACUUAAGC